UAGGGAAUCUUCCGCAAUGGACGAAAGUCUGACGGAGCAACGCCGCGUGAGUGAUGAAGGUUUUCGGAUCGUAAAACUCUGUUGUUAGGGAAGAACAAGUACGAGAGUAACUGCUCGUACCUUGACGGUACCUAACCAGAAAGCCACGGCUAACUACGUGCCAGCAGCCGCGGUAAUACGUAGGUGGCAAGCGUUGUCCGGAAUUAUUGGGCGUAAAGCGCGCGCAGGCGGUCCUUUAAGUCUGAUGUGAAAGCCCACGGCUCAACCGUGGAGGGUCAUUGGAAACUGGGGGACUUGAGUGCAGAAGAGAAGAGUGGAAUUCCACGUGUAGCGGUGAAAUGCGUAGAGAUGUGGAGGAACACCAGUGGCGAAGGCGACUCUUUGGUCUGUAACUGACGCUGAGGCGCGAAAGCGUGGGGAGCAAACAGGAUUAGAUACCCUGGUAGUCCACGCCGUAAACGAUGAGUGCUAAGUGUUAGAGGGUUUCCGCCCUUUAGUGCUGCAGCAAACGCAUUAAGCACUCCGCCUGGGGAGUACGGCCGCAAGGCUG
This 550-nucleotide ribosomal RNA is filed under the name uncultured Bacillus sp. RNAcentral's name for it is "bacterial SSU rRNA". It matches the Rfam family "Bacterial small subunit ribosomal RNA", at positions 355 to 896 of the family's 1533-position model. Lineage: Bacteria; Bacillati; Bacillota; Bacilli; Caryophanales; Bacillaceae. The record is from RNAcentral.